This 254-nucleotide ribosomal RNA is filed under the name uncultured bacterium. Its description in RNAcentral is "partial 16S ribosomal RNA". It matches the Rfam family "Bacterial small subunit ribosomal RNA", at positions 524 to 776 of the family's 1533-position model. The record is from RNAcentral.
CACGUAGGGGGCGAGCGUUGUCCGGAUUUAUUGGGCGUAAAGAGCUCGUAGGCGGUUGCGGAAGUCGGAUGUGAAAUACCGGGGCUCAACUCCGGGGCGCCAUUCGAUACUCCGCUGACUCGAGUCCGGUAGGGGAAGGUGGAAUUCCUGGUGUAGCGGUGAAAUGCACAGAUAUCAGGAGGAACACCGGUGGCGAAGGCGGCCUUCUGGGCCGGUACUGACGCUGAGGAGCGAAAGCUAGGGGAGCGAACAGG